GACGAACGCUGGCGGCGUGCUUAACACAUGCAAGUCGAACGGAAAGGCCUCUUUCGGGGGGUACUCGAGUGGCGAACGGGUGAGUAAAACGUGAGUAACCUGCCCUUGACUUUGGGAUAACUUCAGGAAACUGGGGCUAAUACCGGAUAGGAGCUCCUGCUGCAUGGUGGGGGUUGGAAAGUUUCGGCGGUUGGGGAUGGACUCGCGGCUUAUCAGCUUGUUGGUGGGGUAGUGGCUUACCAAGGCUUUGACGGGUAGCCGGCCUGAGAGGGUGACCGGCCACAUUGGGACUGAGAUACGGCCCAGACUCCUACGGGAGGCAGCAGUGGGGAAUAUUGCACAAUGGGUGGAAGCCUGAUGCAGCAACGCCGUGUGCGGGAUGACGGCCUUCGGGUUGUAAACCGCUUUCGCUCAUGACGAAGCUUUGUGUGACGGUAGUGGGUAAAGAAGCACCGGCUAACUACGUG
This 467-nucleotide ribosomal RNA is filed under the name uncultured bacterium. RNAcentral's name for it is "partial 16S ribosomal RNA". It matches the Rfam family "Bacterial small subunit ribosomal RNA", at positions 28 to 507 of the family's 1533-position model. The record is from RNAcentral.